GAACCUGCAAAUAUCUUUAGUGUUCCUGGUAUUCGUUCAUCUAGGAGCAAAGAAAAGGAGCUGUCACACCGCAAAAAGAUAAAAUAACUGACACAACAAAUGCAGGGCCAAAAGGCACAAUUCGGAGUACCUCAAGGAUAAUAGGUGCAUAAAAUUCAGUCACAAACACAUAUAAUCCUCACAUUACAUAAAACUCAGUCCUGGAACAUAGCCAGACUAGUAUUAAACAGCUAAAUUUGACCAAACACAGGUAAGGCAACUUCCACAGCCACAACCGCAUAACAAAUCAGGAAUCACUGGGACAAUGCCAUCAUCCCUCAGAGUUUCGCUGCCUGGAUGUCAGAUGAUGCUUCCCCUCCCUCCAAGGCGCCUACUUGGAUCGCUGCCUCAUCUUUCGGCGCUUCCUCUUGAGCCUCCUCAUCCUCUUCUUCUUCCACUGCACAUUAAGACGAAAUGCAGAUCAUCAGUACAAAUUGCAUAGUGCUAGAUGCGCAGGAACAUGAGAUAAUUCCACAUGAAACGAGAAAGUAGUAUGUACUUCAGAAUCAGAAGAUUGAGUGUUUCAUUGGAUAUCAUCACGUGAUUUUCAGAAACACGGACCAAUUGUCCUUCAUCAUUUCCCAAACUGCCAAUUUGGCAUUGCAAAAAGAGAACUAUUCUAAGAAGGUCGUAGCUAUCUACAAACAGGUUAGGCAAAGCAAAGUAGAUCUGCAGUCAGUUUGACAUUCAGAAUGAGUAGGAGGAUUUUAUCAUCAAAUAGAUCAGACGCCAAUUGUCUUCCUCAUCAUGCCAACCGACGCAAUUAUACAAAAUAAAAACAGUGGAAAAUGAGCUAAAGAAAUGGAUAAGCAAACGUUGUUCUCUCAGACAAAUGCCUCGAUUGUCCACACGGUGUAAUAGAAUGGAUUACAUCAGACUCGUCAUCUGUUUUCAUCAUCACAGAGAACAAUGGACAAACGAAAACAGCAAAAAAAAAACAUAAAUCUGGCUAACAUAACUAGAGGCAGUAAUUAGAUCUCAUAGAGCAAGCAAAUCUGGUCGAAAUAGCAGCGGUUCUCUCAGACAAAUUUGCCUCACUUUUGUCCCCACGGUUGAAUGGAAUGGAUUGGAUCGGACAUCUAAUCAGUGUUGAUCAUCACAGAGAACCACUAAUUACGCAAGCGAGCGGUAGCAACGGCGAGAACAAACCCUCGCUAAACACUAGCACAUGUCCAGAUCUACCUCGGUCGCGGAGCAGCUAACAACAGGGAAGGGAGAUGACGGGCAGUACGAACCUUGGCCCUCAUCGCGGCGGCGGAGUCGGUCUCGCUCUCCUGUUCGCGGCGGCGGCGGCGGCGGCGGUGUGUGGACGAACUUAGAUUGUUGACGGCGGGGGCUCUCGCCUCGUACUUAUACGGGCUGGGUGCUGAAGGGGGGGGGAAACCCUAGCGGGGUUGGACGGGUGGACGGCUCGGAUCAGCCAGUGAACGGCGUUCUGAUCCGAUUAGUAAUCUGGUUUGUGGGCCUGUUGGGCCUCCAAACAACGCCUAGGCCCACGCUAACAUUUGACUGGACUUGAUUUCCUGAAGGGGGGAAAAAGAAACUUGACCAGUCUUUACUUUUAUUCUCUUUAUUUUAUAUUACUUUAAAAAGAGUAGUGUUCCUUUUUCUGCCAGACGGAGUGAUUCGUCCAACAUUUUUUUAUAAUCACUAGCAAAAGGCCCGUGUGUUACAACGGGCCAUUGAUAUUUUAGUAUUUCAACACUGAUUGUGCACAUCAAACUGAAAUAUCUCCUUCUAUUGUUAAUUGCUAGUGAAAUAAUCGAGAGGAGAUAAUAUGCCUGAAUAGUGAAGUUGUGAGCAUAGCUUAUUUCUCCUUCUCCUUGACUCAUAUGCAUCAUUUGCUUGGGGGGCAAGCUUGUAGCAGAGUUAAACCCAAAAAAAAGUUGAAUACAAAUCAAGGGAUAUAGCAGCAUUCAACUAAAUUAGUAGUGGAGUAGAGAAGCCCUGGAGCAUAUAAAGUAAAUGAUACCUCUGACAAAGCAGGUUUAAGAAGUGGAUAGUAAGUUUGAAAACAUGAACAAUGCAUAGCAAGCUUUCGUACAUACAAAUUCCCUUGUAUUGAUGAAAACAUAAAUUCACCUAUAAAAAACUAACAAAUUUAGUUUGUAUAUAUACUCUUAGUACACAGUCGAGUCAACACAAACAAUUUGCCUAUGAAAGGAUCAAGUUGGAAUUCCAUUGCUCGAUGGGUGGACGGCUCGGAUCAGCCAGUGGACGGUGUUCUGAUCCGAUUAGUAAUCUGGUUUGUGGGCAUGUUGGGCCUCCAAACAACGCCUAGGCCCAUGCUAACAUUUGACUGGACUUGAUUUCCUGAAGGGGGAAAAAGAAACUUGACCAGUCUUUACUUUUAUUCUCUUUAUUUUAUUACUUAAAAAAGGGAAACGUUUCCUGCGGCGUGCCGGCGGAACGCUUGGCCAGUCGCGUACGCUUCGUUCGAUCGAAAGCGAUCAUGCGGCCCACGUGUGGCCUCACCCCCUCGGCCCCACAUGCUCCCUCUUCCUUAUCCCCAUAUGUUUUCUUUUCCUUAUCCCCUCAAGCACCACUCAUUUUUCUUGCUUAUCCCUCCAUGCCCACCAUUCAUCCCAUGCACCUCUCUCUCCCCCUGGCCUACCUUCAAUCAAUAGCUUGCCGGCGAUGGAAGACGUGUGUGGCGAGCUGGCAGUCCGGGGCUGCACACAUGAAGCCGCGGAGGUGCGUGAGCACGACUCUCGGCGAGCGAAGAGGCGCGACGCCAAAGCUACAUCGGCAACUUGGUAUUUCCACUUUGCAACCUGAUACGACGAGUGGAGGGUGGUUUGCUGCAACCAGUGGCCCCUACUACUACGACCAACGAGGUGGCUGUGCCGUGAAGAUGGACGACGGAUGCGGCGAUUUUUGUGCUGAAACCCACGAUAGCCUCUGCUACAACCGGCCAGCCAUUUUGCUGGAACCAGCAUCGGUAAUUGCUGCCAUCAGUCACGCGAUAUGCUGGAACCAAACGCGCACUCGUCGCCGGCGUUUUUUUUCUUUUGCUAGAGUUGGGUGUUUGAUUUUGCUGGAAGUAGCUAUCCUUUUUGCUACAAAUCGACCACACGAGUUCUCCCUGUUUUGUUGUUUCUGCUGUAUCCAAUGUCUUGUUUUGCUGGAAACAACCAUCUUUUUUGGUACAAAUCGACAACAGGAAUUCUACGUGUUUAGUUGUUUUUCUGCUGCAUCCGAUGUUUCGUUUUGCUGGAACCUAGUAUUUUUUUAUUCAACCGAUCAAUGAAGGAUUGUUGCUUUCAGAUCUUUUUGCUAGAUACUUCAGUGCAAACCGACGCCCACGGCGAGCCGAAACCAGAGCAUGGUGAUGAGCUGGAACCGGCGAGCUUGCUUUGCUGCAAUGAGCCGCAAGCUACUAUGAUCAGCAGGGCGAAGAGCUGGAACGGGCGUCCAUUUUUGCUGGGAUGGGCGCCCAAAUUUGCUGGAACAGGAGUCCCGGGUUGCUGCAUCGUUCGCCGCACAGGGGAGCUACGAUGUUGGCGAGCUGGAACCGGCGCCCAAUUUUGCUGGAGCCGGCAUCUCGACAUGCUGGAACCGUGUGAAGGCAGGCGGCGGCUGAAUGGCUGAUUCGACGCUGAUGGUGUUUUGCUGCGACCAGUGAUGGAAAAGCUUCAACCAUCGGGCGAGUUGUCGAUGGCGUGAGGGGUGACGCCGGGGUGCUGCGGCCGACAACACGGUCGGUGCUGCGCGUUCUACUACAACGAGGAGUCGACCACUAGUUGUUGCAUCCGGCCACGUUGACGCUGCCACCAGCUACAACGAGAAGAUGCCAUGGCGAGCUUCGCCGCCGACGGCCGGCAGCGAAGGUACUCGUGCGGGACGGUGAGCAGAAUUGCGCGCGGCUGCGGCCGCCCGCAAGGGAGAGCCGAUCUGGGCCUUCGUAGACUCUCGUGACAAACGAAACAGCAAGGAGGGACCGGCAGAUGGAGCGGUUAAGGUCACUUCAAUCGAGCGUUGCAUGAGGAACCGGCCGAAAUUUUGGGCCGGUCCGCCGGCGCCUAGUGCUGGCCCUUAAAAAAAAGUAGCGUUCCUUUUUCUGCCAGACGGAGUGAUUUGUCCAACAUGUUUUUCUUGGGAACCGCCUUAAUCAUCUCAUCUUUUUGGUUCAAAAAAAUCGUCUCAUCUUUUAUUGACUUAUCAAAUAAAUUAUAUUUUCUUUCAUAAGUCAAAAUAAGUGAUUACAAAAUAAAAUCAUGGGUAAGAUUUGUUAAGUAUUUUUUUACACAAUCACAUAACAUAAAGAUGUAAAUUAUGGGAUAAUGUAUUGUAAUAUAAUAUAUAAUAUUUAUGCCCCAUAGCGACACGGGCAAAUAUCUAGUUCUGCUAGCAAAAAGACUAAUUACAAAACAAUAAAACUGAGCUAGCUACACGCCACCACAGCGAUUCACCGCUUUUGGCCGUCCGAUCAUUUGUUAGACGCCCCAGAUCUUCCAAUUGUCCACUGGCGGUCGCUUGGUCAUUUUCACCGUGCCUCACCCAAUGUAAAAGGGCUGCUGCUCCGGAAAGCAACCUGUGGGUCAUGUAGUUAAUUGGGCCCAGAAGCAGCCCAAUUGGUUGUGUACGUCAGCCCAUGCUAGGUUUCCUUUCCACAUCGACAGAGAAAAGAAAAGAACAAUUCAUCCUUCUCCUCUUGUUCAUACCCACGGUGCAGGGUGUCUAAUUUCUCAUGUUCCUUUCGUGCUAGGAAGCUCGUGGGGAUUGACCAACUGUCAGUUUGUUGGAGUUUGAUCUGUCCCGAUGGGCGACAAACAUAUAGCUGACUGAAGGCACGAGUAUGGCCUAUGGACUAAAGGAUUUGUUCCUUUCCCUCGGUGGCAACAUCCUAUAUGGCAGUACCUUUUCGCCUCCUUUUACCAGCCGUAUAAUUCAGUGAGUCGUUAGUAACUGUUUUGAUUGGUUGUUAGUAUUCCGGCACUGCCUUAUAUAUGGAUAUUCAUUGUUGAUAUGUGUUACAUGGUGUGAUCCCGAUCGACUCCAAUAUGGACACCCAGGCACCACACCCAGGCUCAUGCAAAUGCUCAAAACAGCCCGGUAACGCCACCACUUGUUGAUCAAAACGUUGUCCUUCUGAGUACUGAUUAGGAUUACAUGCAACCUUCUUGCUGGAAAUACGCUUCUGAAAAAAGAUGCUAAGCUGGCCUGAUAAGAUUGGCAUUAGGCUUUUGCCGUAGGAUCCUGGAACUCUGAAUUCUAGGAACAGCACCUACCAGGUUACCUGAUGUAAUCCGUAUCCUUGCAUGAGGUUUGGAGUACGUGGUUUUUCAAUUUUUGUUGGACAGUUUUAGUCGAGUUAGGUGUGUUCAAGGAUUAGCUUUGGUUUUCCCAUUUUACUCGCUAAGAAAGGUAACUGAAAUUUUGUUUCUGCUCAAUUUCAUUAGGUUGCAAGAAAAUGACUGGUUGAAAUUGCUUUCCUAAACAAAGUAAUAGAUGUACAAUAUUGAUCAACAAAUGGGCAACAAGUCAACAACGACCCAGUAGAAAUUUUAUUGUGCUGAAUAGGGCCAAGUAUAUUAUCAAACCAUUGUUGGUAAGAGGAUAAUUUACUAUGAUUCAGUUGGCAAAGAGGCUCUGAUCUGCAGUUUAAAUGACGAAGAAAUACUGGAACAUGGGGAAGAGAAGCAUGUUUCACAAAAGAAGAAGAUCCGCUAAUAUGGUAAUAAUACAUCCUAGUUAAAUAGAUUGGUUUUUCUGUAUUACGUGCUCUUCUGUCGUGAACUGCAAUUGAUUACCACAACAUGCUAUGUUUUCAUCCGUUCAAGUCUGAAGAAUGGGUACUAUCUAUCAGUCUAUAUGUUUGAAUUUUUUUUCUAAUAUCUCUACUCCUAAUGAAGCAGUUGGUAGCCUGGUACUCCGGUUUUAUUUUCGUCCGGUUUUAUUUCGUCCCACCUCCCACCACUCCGUACUACUGGUUUUUUAUCUAUCUACAAAUCUCCCCUCCCACUGGUUUAAGCCGGUUAUCAAUUUUUGGUAAUGCAAUAAAAGUCAUACGGGAAUAAAUCAUAUCACGGUCGGCAGUUAAUCUCAAACCUGCCAAGAGAUUUGGUAACAGAAUAAAUUCAAAAGGAAGGGUGGGGGAAUGUUCCUAUACAUAAGGAUGGUAAUCUCCAUCGCAUACCAUUUACUCCAGAAUCAAUCGCAUUAAUAAUCUCCAUCGCAUAAAUAAUUACUCCAAAAUCAAUCACAAUCAUAAUCUACAUCGCAUAAUUAACUUCUUCCUAUGACCACCUCGCUCCACCAAUCCCACCUGCCGUUUUCUACCAUCACGAUCGAUUUUCUCGCGUCCUCUCCUACACGCACAAAAAUAUAGGCCCAGCCUCGACCGUGGGCUGGGACUCAUCCGUCGCGCACCGCCUGCUCUGCAACGACGCCCAACGCAACCUCUUCUUUGAUGCCCCCGCGCACCCCUCGCCGCCGCCACCAACGCCCUGCGCGUUCGCCUCUACGGCCUUGAUGAUUGCACCCGCUUUCGUGACGUCCUCGCGCUCAAGCGCCGCCGGCGCAUCCACGCCUGCGUCAGCCAUGCCGAGGAGGUUGAGGAGCCCCUCGAGCCGGCCCUUGCCCUCGCCUGCGUCAACGACCCCGCCCAUCUUGGCGGGGGCGAUUCCCCCAUCGCCCGACUCAUCUCCGACGAGUAUGGCAUCGGUGGGUACGCCGCGUCGUUCGUAUGCUUGGCAGGUUCCAGAACACCCCGCGACGUGUAUGAGGCUGCUAAGCUUGACCAUGGCGAGGGGCUCGUGCUCGAGCUCGACGAGACGCAAUUCGAUCUCGGAACCAACUACGAGCUGGAUGGUGAGACUGCAGAGCAGGCAGGGGGCGCGACGAAGAUGGAAGUGGCGGCAGUUCAAGCUUGUCGCUGCCGAAGACCCUAGAGAGGUGCGUGAAGAGACCUGGUUAGUUUUGUUGGGCCCCACUGGUAGAUGCUCCAUGUCUCCUCCUCUGGUUCCUUGUGCAUUAUUGGGUUGUCUUAAUUUUCAGUCAGGAACACGUAGCCGUGAAUUUUUUUGAUUAAUAUUGAUGUCAUCGUUACAUAUUGGUACCGGGUAGAUUUGAUGUAUUAUUGUUAAGCUCUCAAGACCAGGCCUGGUUUUACAGAUGUUUAGCGCACCGGUUCCUGUUCAUUUACAACACAGCCAUGCGAUCUAUUAAGUGAUGUUUCUCUGAAUUUAUGACAGGUAAACUGCGGUAAUAACAAAUCAGAUGUCAUCUCUCAUCUUGCCGAUUCAACCUUGGAAGAUAUGGUAGAGACGAGAGGCGGUUUGGUCCAUCUGGUGGAAGGGGGAGUGGAGAUAGUAGGAGUGGAAAGCAACUCAGUCCAUCCUGGCGGAAGGGAUAUAUAUAGGCUGACAUGUCAUCGGUGCUGGGCACCACAGGCAAGUGCUGUUUAGUUGAGUCCCAAUCACGAAUUAGAAAAAAAUUCUUUGGGUUCUUGGAUAGAUGCUUAUGGUUUGUUGCGUCAUUUUUCAGGUUCAAUAUGCUGGCUGGCGCCGAGCCUCACUACUGAGUUGAAGAACUACUUGCAACGGUUGCCAAAAGUUGUGUUAAAAAAAUAGGCCCACCUUCAUAAGGAUGAUGUAAAUUGCAGCCAUACUCAGGUUUAUUCUUUGUUCCCUGCAUAUUUUUAUUUAACCACGUUAUGUUUUAGCCACUAGAUGGAAAAUAGAAAAAGGAAACGGAGAGAAUCACUUAUUUUCGUGAUAUGAUAUUUAUUUAAUAGUGAUUGCUAUUUGUUUUGAAUAUUUAAGCAUAAGGAUACCACAAUUAAAUUAUGGUUACAACACGAAAGUUGUAGAGUAGUUAAUCUCUAUCUCUACUCCUAAAGGGGGAGUUGGUAGCCCGGUGCGCAGGUUUAUUUUCGCCUCACCGAUUUAUUCUCCCUCACCUCCCAGCAUCCCCUCCACGCUGGGUUUUCUCCGUCCGACUAAAAACCAAAUCAAUUUGCAUGAUCCUCCUUGUUUGUUUUUCGGCUAAUGUCCUCCUAUCCUAGAGCAUGUUCAUCUGACUAAUCUUCUUAGUUAAUGCCCUCCUUGCCUGGAUCAUGUUCAUCCGAUUGACAAAGGCUUGGCCAUCUUGUAAUAGUAGAUGGUGAAGUGGAUAUAUAUACUACUCCCUCCGUCCGAAAAUACUUGUCAUCAAAAUGAAUAUAAAGGGAUGUAUCUAGAACUAAAAUAUGUUUAGAUACAUCUCUUUUUAUCCAUUUUGAUAACAAGUAUUUCCGGACAGAGGGAGUGCUUCAGUUUGCAUGAGAACAACCGCUUAUAUGUGUGCCUCAAUAGUAAAGUAGGAUUGCUUGGAUUAUUUUCUGUAGUAUUUUUUCCAGUUUUAAAUGUUUAGUUUCUUAACUUAUUAUGAGGCUUGCAUCGAUCAAAGAAAUCAUGCUCCCUUGGCUUAAUCAAAUGUACUUAUGUUUGCUAAUUUAUUUUUAGUGUGUGUUUCCUCCUACUAUCUUAUUAUUCUAUAGCUAACUAUAUUUUGGAAUCUGGUGGGUGCAAAGAAAAUGGCAGUUUCUAGAUUUCUGUAGUAUUUCUGGGUAACAACAGGUUCCAAAGUGACGGGCAUUGCUAAAUCAGAUAACAUACUAUUCAAAAAGAGAACACAUUCAUCCCUUCAUUUUAGAGAUUCAAUAAAGCAAGCAAAACUUGGAAUCCAAGUCAGAAUACCAACUAUUGUACUACUGAAUGCACAUUUAUUUGCCGACAUGAAACUAUCUAUCACAUGUAGGUGUGUUUGCUCCUCGGAGCAUAGCAAAAUGAUAUGCUCUUACAUAAACAUUAUCUUGCUUACAGUGUUAAUUCAAAGCCUUAAUUCAAGGUCGGAUCUUGCUUACAAUGUCAAUAUAAUCGCUUUUAAUCUCUUUCAAGAUUAAUAAACUGCACAUGCAUGGCACGCAAAUAGGACAAACUUGACUAGAUCUACACAUAUAUUUUUAUCACUUCUAAUAUCUCAUCGACUGUUUACAUGCCAUAUUGCAUACCAAGAAUACAAGAGUGCUGACUUUAUUUUAUUUUAUUUUAUUUUAUUUUAUUUUAUUUCUGAAAUAGUUCCCAAUUAGGCUUACAAUUAUUUUAUAUUAGUGUUACUUCCUUUGUCAAGCUUAUGAAGAAUGUAUUUCCUUGAACAGUAUUUCAUCCAUUUGGAUUUAGGUGACAUGUGUGGUGGCACGAGAAAAUGGAAGGCCCUAAGCUGAAGGAGAGCAUCAAUUGACAUGAGUGAUAAGCAAUAUCUAUUAGAAACACAUACUAUCAGGCUAAUGCAAACCACUUGGGUAUGAAGUAUACUUACCACAACUUUCUAGGUGUUGAUCAACUUGUGUUUUCUUGUUAGUAAAAGAAACAUGUUGUUUUUUUGUGGUUCAUGGAUUCAUGCUCAAUGUUGAAUUAUUAUCUGAUCUGCAGAAGCAUGUCUUACUGCUGCUCAAGGUCACAUGAUUUAUAAUUUAUAACUACAAUUAUUUAAAUCAGUAUCUUGCACGAAGUCCUGACAUCUGGCUUUAUCAAAGAUUCCACUAUGUUUAUUUCUCCAUCAUAUCGCACAAUGAAUAAUAACAGUAGAUAGAUAUCCCCUUUUUAUGCAAUGAAUUUCAUGAAAUAAAACAGCGUCCAUCACCGUCUCUGAUGUAAUCUUAAGUGCACAUGCAUGGCUUAAUGUCACUGCUAUCUCGUAGUUUCACAUGCUAUUCAAGUUUACGGCAUACAGUACUUAACAUAUAAGUUGUGUCAUAGUAUUAGUGUCAUCUUUGGCUGCUUCCUUUCUUGAAUUUUCCGAUGACAGUGUACAUGCCUUAACAUAUUCGAAGUUGUUGAUUUUUUUGUUGCAAAUAUAAUAUUUAGUAAUUUAACGUGAGCCCUUGCAGGUCCAAUUAAAGCUAUUUGACCAGAAGCUAGGUGAUAUGUGCUCAAAAGAAUCUACCCUGUUAUGCACCAGUUUUUUGCCUUAACAUUGUUUCUGCAAUUACACUAUAUAUCUUGUAUUAACUGGAUUUUUAAGAUGACGAUUAAGGAAUUCAUCUACAAUUAGGAACUUACUUCGCGACAAGGAAGGUCCAGUGGUUGGGCAACAACAUGUGGAAGGAUAAUUACUGGAUACAUUUUUUUAGCGAACAACAGCGGAGCGAUUUGAUGUCUCAAAACAUGUAAGCUGACUUGCCCUCCAUGGAAUGGAAUGACUACAAAAACUUUUGUCAUUUCAUCUAAGAAUAUUUUAAAUUAGUUAAUAAAUCAUACAGACUUGAUAUUUUCUUGGUCUCAUGCAACUAUGUGUGGUUUCUUACUUUACUCCACAAUCAUCUGUGGCAAUUAUGAGGUAUUUUUCGCCAUUCGUAUUUAUUCCUUAAUUUUACUAUGAAUAUAUGAGAGUACACACCAAGGGGUUCGCAAAAAGUACAAAAAAACUAGGAGACAAGCACGAGUCACCUUAUGAGGUGAUGAUGUAGGAGACACAAUGAGGUGAAAGAGACGUGAUGGACAUAGAAGAGUAAACCCACGAGGAUAAAGAGAUGUCAUGCACAUAGAAGGAGGAAGCGAGGACCUCGAUCCACAUUAUCAAAGACAUAGAUAAGAACAAGAGUAUCACACUUCCCACAUCGACCAACUAAUGACACAUGUUGCUAUUGGGGCAUAUCACCCUCCCUUGCAUUAUACAUAUUAAUAUUAAGAUGAAACACUUCGUUGAAUGCAUUUCUAUUAUAUUGUUCUAUGGCAACACCCGAGCAUUCUGCUAGAAAGGAUGCUCGGGUGUAGACAGAAUCAUAUAUUAUAUCAUUAUUAGUAUCAACAUGUUUCUAAAUGUUUUCAUACUCAGUAUAUGAUGUUAGAUUCAACAUGAGAUCUAAAGUUUUGUGUGAAGCCAAAUAUGCAGGUGUUAGCAAUACUGUUUGAUAGCUUGGGGGUACGAUGUGGCAAACGCGCAACGGCUGGCUAGCUGUGUUGGAGAGCAAGAGAUGUCCAGCGAGAAACAUCCCACUACAUGUUGGGGAAUGUAGUAAUUUCAAAAAAUUUCCUACGCACACGCAAGAUCAUGGUGAUGCAUAGCAACGAGAAGGGAGAGUGUUGUCUACGUACCCACGCAGACCGACUGCGGAAGCAUUGACACAACAUAGAGGAAGUAGUCGUACGUCUUCCCGAUCCGACCGAUCCAAGCACCGUUACUCCGGCACCUCCGAGUUCUUAGCACACGUACAGCUCGAUGACGAUCCCCGGGCUCCGAUCCAGCAAAGCGUCGGGGAAGAGUUCCGUCAGCACGACGGCGUGGUGAUGAUCUUGAUGUUCUACCGACGCAGGGCUUCGCCUAAGCACUACAACGAUAUGAUCGAGGUGGAAUAUGGUGGCAGGGGGCACCGCACACGGCUAAGAAAUGAUCUCAAGGAUCAACUUGUGUGUCUAGAGGUGCCCCCCUGCCCCUGUAUAUAAAGGAGCCAAGGAGGAGGGGCUGGCUGGCCAAGGAGGGUGCGCCAGGAGAGUCCUACUCCCUCUGGGAAUAGGAUUCCCCCCCAAUCCUAGUUGGAAUAGGAUUCCUUAAGGGGGGGAAAGGAGAGGGGGGGCCGGCCACCUCUUCUAGUCCUAAUAGGACUAGGGGAGGGGGGAGGCGCGCGGCCACCUUGGGCUGCCCCUUUCUUCUUUCCACUAAAGCCCAUUAAGGCCCAUAUAGCUCCCGGGGGGUUCCGGUAACCUCCCGGUACUCCGGUAAAAUCCUGAUUUCACCCGGAACACUUCCGAUAUCCAAACAUAGGCUUUCAAUAUAUCAAUCUUUAUGUCUCGACCAUUUCAAGACUCCUCGUCAUGUCCGUGAUCACAUUCGGGACUCCGAACUAACUUCGGUACAUCAAAAUGCAUAAACUCAUAAUAACUGUCAUCGUAACGUUAAGCGUGCGGACCCUACAGUUCGAGAAUAAUGUAGACAUGACUGAGACACAUCUCCAGUCAAUAACCAAUAGCGGGACCUGGAUGCCCAUAUUGGCUCCUACAUAUUCUACGAAGAUCUUUAUCGGUCAGACCGCAUAACAACAUACGUUGUUCCCUUUGUCAUCGAUAUGUUACUUGCCCGAGAUUCGAUCGUCGGUAUCCAAUACCUAGUUCAAUCUCGUUACCGGCAAGUCCCUUUACUCGUUCUGUAAUACAUCAUCCCGCAACUAACUCAUUAGUUGCAAUGCUUGCAAGGCUUAUGUGAUGUGCAUUACCGAGAGGGCCCAGAGAUACCUCUCCGACAAUCGGAGUGACAAAUCCUAAUCUCGAAAUACGCCAACCCAACAUCUACCUUUGGAGACACCUGUAGAGCUCCUUUAUAAUCACCCAUUUACGUUGUGACGUUUGGUAGCACAGAAAGUAUUCCUCCGGCAAACGGGAGUUGCAUAAUCUCAUAGUCAUAGGAACAUGUAUAAGUCAUGAAGAAAGCAAUAGCAACAUACUAAACGAUCGGGUGCUAAGCUAAUGGAAUGGGUCAUGUCAAUCAGAUCAUUCAACUAAUGAUGUGACCUCGUUAAUCAAAUAACAACUCUUUGUUCAUGGUUAGCAAACAUAACCAUCUUUGAUUAACGAGCUAGUCAAGUAGAGGCAUACUAGUGACACUCUGUUUGUCUAUGUAUUCACACAUGUAUUAUGUUUUCGGUUAAUACAAUUCUAGCAUGAAUAAUAAACAUUUAUCAUGAUAUAAGGAAAUAAAUAAUAACUUUAUUAUUGCCUCUAGGGCAUAUUUCCGUCAGUCUCCCACUUGCACUAGAGUCAAUAAUCUAGAUUACACUGUAAUGAUUCUAACACCCAUGGAGUCUUGGUGUUGAUCAUGUUUUGCUCGUGGAAGAGGCUUAGUCAACGAGUCUGCAACAUUCAGAUCUGUAUGUAUCUUGCAAAUCUCUAUGUCUCCCACCUGGACUAGAUUCCGGAUGGAAUUGAAGCGUCUCUUGAUGUGCUUGGUCCUUUUGUGAAAUCUGGAUUCCUUUGCCAAGGCAAUUGCACCAGUAUUGUCACAAAAGAUUUUCAUUGGACCCGAUGCACUAGGUAUGACACCUAGAUCGGAUAUGAACUCCUUCAUCCAGACUCCUUCGUUCGCUGCUUCCGAAGCAGCUAUGUACUCCGCUUCACAUGUAGAUCCCGCUAUGACGCUUUGUUUAGAACUGCACCAACUGACAGCUCCACCGUUUAAUGUAAACACGUAUCCGGUUUGCGAUUUAGAAUCGUCCGGAUUAGUGUCAAAGCUUGCAUCAACGUAACCUUUUACGGUGAGCUCUUUGUCACCUCCAUAUACGAUAAACAUAUCCUUAGUCCUUUUCAGGUAUUUCAGGAUGUUCUUGACCGCUGUCCAGUGAUCCACUCCUAGAUUACUUUGAUACCUUCCUCCUAGACUUAUAGCAAGGCACACAUCAGGUCUGGUACACAGCAUUGCAUACAUGAUAGAGCCUAUGGCUGAAGCAUAGGGAACAUCUUUCAUUUUCUCUCUAUCUUCUGCAGUGGUCGGGCAUUGAGUCUGACUCAACUUCACACCUUGUAACAUAGGCAAGAACCCUUUCUUUGCUUGAUCCAUUUUGAACUUCUUCAAAAUCUUGUCAAGGUAUGUGCUUUGUGAAAGUCCAAUUAAGCGUCUUGAUCUAUCUUUAUAGAUCUUUAUGCCUAAUAUGUAAGCAGCUUCACCGAGGUCUUUCAUUGAAAAACUCUUAUUCAAGUAUCCCUUUAUGCUAUCCAGAAAUUCUAUAUCAUUUCCAAUCAGUAAUAUGUCAUCCACAUAUAAUAUCAGAAAUGCUACAGAGCUCCCACCCACUUUCUUGUAAAUACAGGCUUCUCCGAAAGUCUGUAUAAAACCAAAUGCUUUGAUCACACUAUCAAAGCGUUUAUUCCAACUCCGAGAGGCUUGCACCAGUCCAUAAAUGGAUCGCUGGAGCUUGCACACUUUGUUAGCUCCUUUUGGAUUGACAAAACCUUCCAGUUGCAUCAUAUACAACUCUUCUUCCAGAAAUCCAUUCAGGAAUGCAGUUUUGACAUCCAUCUGCCAAAUUUCAUAAUCAUAAAAUGCGGCAAUUGCUAACAUGAUUCGGACAGACUUAAGCAUCGCUACGGGUGAGAAGGUCUCAUCGUAGUCAACCCCUUGAACUUGUCGAAAACCUUUUGCGACAAGUCGAGCUUUGUAGACAGUAACAUUACCAUCAGCGUCAGUCUUCUUCUUGAAGAUCCAUUUAUUCCCAAUUGCUUGCCGAUCAUCGGGCAAGUCAACCAAAGUCCAUACUUUAUUCUCAUACAUGGAUCCCAUCUCAGAUUUCAUGGCUUCAAGCCACUUUGCGGAAUCUGGGCUUACCAUCGCUUCUUCAUAGUUUGUAGGUUCAUCAUGAUCUAGCAGCAUGAUUUCCAGAACAGGAUUACCGUACCACUCUGGUGCGGAUCUCGCUCUGGUUUAUCUACGAGGUUCAGUAGUAUCUUGUCCUGAAGUUUCAUGAUCAUCAUCAUUAGCUUCCUCACUAAUUGGUAUAGGUGUCGCAGAAACAGUUUUCUGUGAUGUACUACUUUCCAAUAAGGGAGCAGGUACAGUUACCUCGUCAAGUUCUACUUUCCUCCCACUCACUUCUUUCGAGAGAAACUCUUUCUAUAGAAAGGAUCCAUUCUUAGCAACGAAUAUCUUGCCUUCGGAUCUGUGAUAGAAGGUGUACCCAACAGUCUCCUUUGGGUAUCCUAUGAAGACACAUUUCUCCAAUUUGGGUUCGAGCUUAUCAGGUUGAAGCUUUUUCACAUAAGCAUCGCAGCCCCAAACUUUAAGAAACGACAACUUUGGUUUCUUGCCAAACCACAGUUCAUAAGGCGUCGUCUCAACGGAUUUUGAUGGUGCCCUAUUUAACGUGAAUGCGGCCGUCUCUAAAGCAUAACCCCAAAACGAUAGUGGUAAAUCAGUAAGAGACAUCAUAGAUCGCACCAUAUCUAGUAAAGUACGAUUACGACGUUCGGACACACCAUUACGCUGUGGUGUUCCGGGUGGCAUGAGUUGCGAAACUAUUCCACAAUUUUUCAAAUGUACACCAAACUCGUAACUCAAAUAUUCUCCUCCACGAUCAGAUCGUAGAAACUUUAUUUUCUUGUUACGAUGAUUUUCAACUUCACUCUGAAAUUCUUUGAACUUUUCAAAUGUUUCAGACUUGUGUUUCAUCAAGUAGAUAUACCCAUAUCUGCUUAAAUCAUCUGUGAAGGUGAGAAAAUAACGAUAUCCGCCACGAGCCUCAAUAUUCAUCGGACCACAUACAUCGGUAUGUAUGAUUUCCAACAAAUCUGUUGCUCUCUCCAUAGUACCGGAGAACGGUGUUUUAGUCAUCUUGCCUAUGAGGCAUGGUUCGCAAGUACCAAGUGAUUCAUAAUCAAGUGGUUCCAAAAGUCCAUCAGUAUGGAGUUUCUUCAUGCGCUUUAUACCGAUAUGACCUAAAACGGCAGUGCCACAAAUAAGUUGCACUAUCAUUAUCAACUCUGCAUCUUUUGGCUUCAACAUUAUGAAUAUGUGUGUUACUACUAUCGAGAUUCAUCAAAAAUAGACCACUCUUCAAAGGUGCAUGACCAUAAAAGAUAUUACUCAUAUAAAUAGAACAACCAUUAUUCUUUGAUUUAAAUGAAUAACCGUCUCGCAUCAAACAAGAUCCAGAUAUAAUGUUCAUGCUCAAUGCUGGCACCAAAUAACAAUUAUUUAGGUCUAAUAUUAAUCCCGAAGGUAGAUGUAGAGGUAGCGUGCCGACCGCGAUCACAUCGACUUUGGAACCGUUUCCCACGCGCAUCGUCACCUCGUCCUUUGUCAGUGUUUGCUUAAUCCGUAGUCCCUGUUUCGAGUUGCAAAUAUUAGCAACAGAACCAGUAUCAAAUACCCAGGUGCUACUGCAAGCUCUAGUAAGGUACACAUCAAUAACAUAUAUAUCACAUAUACCUUUGUUCACCUUGCCAUCCUUCUUAUCCGCCAAAUACUUGGGGUAGUUCCGCUUCCAGUGACCAGUCUGCUUGCAGUAGAAACACUCAGUUUCAGGCUUAGGUCCAGACUUGGGUUUCUUCUCCUGAGCAGCAACUUGCUUACUGUUCUUCUUGAAGUUCCCCUUCUUCUUCCCUUUACCCUUUUUCUUGAAACUAGUGGUCUUGUUAACCAUCAACACUUGAUGCUCCUUCUUGAUUUCUACCUCCGCAGCUUUCAGCAUUGCGAAGAUCUCGGGAGUAGUCUUGUUCAUCCCUUGCAUAUUAUAGUUCAUCACAAAGCUCUUGUAGCUUGGUGGCAGUGAUUGGAGAAUUCUGUCAAUGAUGCAAUCAUCUGGAAGAUUAACUCCCAUCUGAAUCAAGUGAUUAUUAUACCCAGACAUUUUGAGUAUAUGCUCACUGACAGAACUGUUCUCCUCCAUCUUGCAGCUAUAGAACUUAUUGGAGACUUCAUAUCUCUCAAUCCGGGCAUUUGCUUGAAAUAUUAACUUCAACUCCUGGAACAUCUCAUAUGCUCCAUGACGUUCAAAACGUCGUUGAAGUCCCGAUUCUAAGCCGUAAAGCAUGGCACACUGAACUAUCGAGUAGUCAUCAGCUUUGCUCUGCCAGACGUUCAUAACAUCAGGUAUUGCUCCAGCAGCAGGCCUGGCACCCAGCGGUGCUUCCAGGACGUAAUUCUUCUGAGCAGCAAUGAGGAUAAUCCUCAAGUUACGGACCCAGUCCGUGUAAUUGCUACCAUCAUCUUUCAACUUUGCUUUCUCAAGGAAUGCAUUAAAAUUCAACGGGACAACAGCACGAGCCAUCUAUCUACAAUCAACAUAAACAAGCAAGAUACUAUCAGGUACUAAGUUCAUGAUAAGUUUAAGUUCAAUUAAUCAAAUUACUUAAGAACUCCCACUUAGAUAGACAUCCCUCUAAUCCUCUAAGUGAUCACGUGAUCCAAAUCAACUAAACCAUAACCGAUCAUCACGUGAGAUGGAGUAGUUUUCAAUGGUGAACAUCGUUAUGUUGAUCAUAUCUACUAUAUGAUUCACGUUAGACCUUUCGGUCUCCGUGUUCCGAGGCCAUAUCUGCAUAUGCUAGGCUCGUCAAGUUUAACCUUAGUAUUCUGCGUGUGCAAAAACUGGCUUGCACCCGUUGUAGAUGGACGUAGAGCUUAUCAUACCCAAUCAUCACGUGGUGUCUGGGCACGACGAACUUUGGCAACGGUGCAUACUCAGGGAGAACACUUCUUGAUAAUUUAGUGAGAGAUCAUCUUAUAAUGCUACCGUCAAUCAAAGCAAGAUAAGAUGCAUAAAAAGAUAAACAUCACAUGCAAUCAAUAUAAGUGAUAUGAUAUGGCCAUCAUCAUCUUGUGCUUGUGAUCUCCAUCUCCGAAGCAUCGUCAUGAUCACCAUCGUCACCGGCGCGACACCUUGAUCUCCAUCGUAGCAUCGUUGUCGUCUCGCCAAUCUUAUGCUUCUACGACUAUCGCUACCGUUUAGUGAUAAAGUAAAGCAUUACAUCGCGAUUGCAUUGCAUACAAUAAAGCGACAACCAUAUGGCUCCUGCCAGUUGCCGAUAACUUGGUUACAAAACAUGAUCAUCUCAUACAAUAAAAUUUAGCAUCAUGUCUUGGCCAUAUCACAUCACAACAUGCCCUGCAAAAACAAGUUAGACGUCCUCUACUUUGUUGUUGCAAGUUUUACGUGGCUGCUACGGGCUUAAGCAAGAACCAAUCUCACCUACGCAUCAAAACCACAACGAUAGUUUGUCAAAUAGACUCCGUUUUAACCUUCGCAAGGACCGGGCGUAGCCACACUCGGUUCAACUAAAGUUGGAGAGACAGUCGCCCGCAAGCCACCUAUGUGCAAAGCACGUCGGGGAAACCGGUCUCGCGUAAGCGUACGCGUAAUGUUGGUCCGGGUCGUCUCGUCCAACAAUACCGUUGAACCAAAGUAUGACAUGGCAGUAUGACUUAUAUCGCCCACAACUCACUUGUGUUCUACUCGUGCAAAUAACAUCAAACCAUAAAACCUAGGCUCGGAUGCCACUAUUGGGGAACAUAGUAAUUUCAAAAAAAUUCCUAUGCACACGCAAGAUCAUGGUGAUGCAUAGCAACGAGAAGGGAGAGUGUUGUCUACGUACCCACGCAGACCGACUGCGGAAGCAUUGACACAACAUAGAGGAAGUAGUCGUACGUCUUCCCGAUCCGACCGAUCCAAGCACCGUUACUCCGGCACCUCCGAGUUCUUAGCACACGUACAGCUCGAUGACGAUUCCCGGGCUCCGAUCCAGCAAAGCGUCGGGGAAGAGUUCCGUCAGCACGACGGCGUGGUGACGAUCUUGAUGUUCUACCGACGCAGGGCUUCGCCUAAGCACUACAACGAUAUGAUCGAGGUGGAAUAUGGUGGCAGGAGGCACCGCACACAGCUAAGGAACGAUCUCAAGGAUCAACUUGUGUAUCUAGAGGUGCCCCCCUGCCCCUGUAUAUAAAGGAGCCAAGGGGGAGGGGCUGGCUGGCCAAGGAGGGUGCGCCAGGAGAGUCCUACUCCCUCUGGGAGUAGGAUUCCCCCCCCCCCCCAAUCCUAGUUGGAAUAGGAUUCCUUAAGGGGGGGGGAAGAGAGAGAGGGGGGCCGGCCACCUCUCCUAGUCCUAAUAGGACUAGGGGAGGGGGGAGGCGCGCGGCCACCUUGGGCUGCCCCUUUCUUCUUUCCACUAAAGCCCACUAAGGCCCAUAUAGCUCCCGGGGGGUUCCGGUAACCUCCCGGUACUCCGGUAAAAUCCCGAUUUCAUCCGGAACACUUCCGAUAUCCAAACAUAGGCUUCCAAUAUAUCAAUCUUUAUGUCUCGACCAUUUUGAGACUCGUCGUCAUGUCCGUGAUCACAUCCGGGACUCCGAACUAACUUCGGUACAUCAAAAUGCAUAAACUCAUAAUAACUGUCAUCGUAACGUUAAGCGUGCGGACCCUACGGUUCAAGAAUAAUGUAGACAUGACUGAGACACAUCUCCGGUCAAUAACCAAUAGUGGGACCUGGAUGCCCAUAUUGGCUCCUACAUAUUCUACGAAGAUCUUUAUCGGUCAGACCGCAUAACAACAUGCGUUGUUCCCUUUGUCAUCGGUAUGUUACUUGCCCGAGAUUCGAUCGUCGGUAUCCAAUACCUAGUUCAAUCUCGUUACCGGCAAGUCUCUUUACUCGUUCUGUAAUACAUCAUCCCGCAACUAACUCAUUAGUUGCAAUGCUUGCAAGGCUUGUGUGAUGUGCAUUACCGAGAGGGCCCAGAGAUACCUCUCCGACAAUCGGAGUGACAAAUCCUAAUCUUGAAAUACGCCAACCCAACAUCUACCUUUGGAGACACCUGUAGAGCUUCUUUAUAAUCACCCAUUUACGUUGUGACGUUUGGUAGCACAGAAAGUAUUCCUCCGGCAAACGGGAGUUGCAUAAUCUCAUAGUCAUAGGAACAUGUAUAAUUCAUGAAGAAAGCAAUAGCAACAUACUAAACGAUCGGGUGCUAAGCUAAUGGAAUGGGUCAUGUCAAUCAGAUCAUUCAACUAAUGAUGUGACCUCGUUAAUCAAAUAACAACUCUUUGUUCAUGGUUAGCAAACAUAACCAUCUUUGAUUAACGAGCUAGUCAAGUAGAGGCAUACUAGUGACACUCUGUUUGUCUAUGUAUUCACACAUGUAUUAUGUUUCCGGUUAAUACAAUUCUAGCAUGAAUAAUAAACAUUUAUCAUGAUAUAAGGAAAUAAAUAAUAACUUUAUUAUUGCCUCUAGGGCAUAUUUCCUUCACUACAAUGGGAAACCGAGCGGGAAGGGGAGAGUCAGAUAGGAAAACCGAAGUUUUUGUCGUGGGAUGGGGGUUUUGUGUUGCGCCCUUGGGUUGGAGAUAACAAAUGGCGGAUAGUCCGGACAAUGACAUUUCUCCCCCACAUAUGAUCUGGAUUUCGGAAAGUCUGGACUGUCCAGACGGUUGAAUUUUGGGGAGCCCAUUGGGCACCGGACGUAUGAGGAAGAAAUGAGUUUCGAAUUUAAAGACGACUUUAAUCAUUUAUUUAAUUCAUUUAUGUGUGUUGUAGCCCGUAGCAACGCACGGGCAUUCUACUAGUAUAAGUUAUAACUCUGCUAUACUGCCAAUUUCUUGCAUGCUCAUAUGUAUGUUGUAUGGCAUUUAAUUUCUUUUGGUGGUCCUUUCCCUCUUUGAAUUGAAUGCCAACAUAGUAGAACAUGUACUGCAUAAGGUUCAGCAGGCUGGGUCUAACAAGGUAAAUCAUUAUUUCUCAUGCGGAAGUUUGCAGGAUUAUGCACACACAUUGUUUCGUUUCGUUGACCAUAGAACAUGAUUUGCUCUUUAUUUUCUCUCCUAUGCCUAAGGCUUUGAGCUCCUUCGAAAUCAUUACUAUAAUGAAAAGGAUGAGAAGUGAGUCCUUUAGACAUGGAACACACAUAAGUUCUUUGAAGAUCAUUUUAUUUGGGAUGUCAAUAACAGUUCUACCAAUUUGCAUCAAUUGUUUAUAUGCUAUACAAACCAUCACUUGGCCCUCUAUUGUCAUUAAUCAGAUGCACGGAAUUUGUGAAUAUAUAAAUAUUCUGGCUGAAGAUAGAACCAACUUGUGAUGGUUCCAUGUGGUACAUAUAACUGAAAUUGGUCAGAUGUUUCUAUAUUUCUUUCGUUAAGACAUCUUUUUUCCUUUGUUAAGAUGUGUCUAAGAUGGGCGGGCGCCGCAACGCGCGCCUUUAUGAUCUAGUACAGCGUGAUGGCGCUGGUGCGCAACUGUUGGUGCAGCACAUUCACCAUUAAUUAUAUUGUUUUUAACACAGUAUAAACGUAAGUGCUCAUAUAUUUAUACGCGCAUAUAUUCACCCCUUGUGAAUGCACGUACGCACACUCUAUCCCUAUGAGCACCUCUGAAAGACUGAGUUAGUAUAUUAUCUAAAUUUUACAAAGUCACCAUAGGCGCCUAUCCGGGAUAAAUGCAAGCAUCAUGACUUGAAUUCUGAUGGGCUGGGGAUAUCACUGUGCUCCUAACCAUUCAACCACAUAUUGGUUCACCGGGACUAAUCAUACCGGUGUAGCCAAGUCUUAUUUAAAAACUAUGGACCAAACUUCAUCCCAUAUAGUUGAACAACACUAGGGGUAGAAACGGAUCGGAUGCGGAUCGGAUAGUGCUCUUGCCACUUCCAUUUUCAUAUUUUCAAAACGAAUACGAAUUCGAAUACGGAUGUUAUCGGAUACGGAUGCGGCUCGGAUAUUAUUCAAAUACGGAUACGUAUCGGAUAUUUUCUUGAUUCGGAACGGAUACGAAUAAUAUCAACAUAUUGCUUAAGUAAAUCAGUCGAUAGCUAUGUGAACUGAAAUAAUCAACUUGUGACAUACAAUAAGUCAAUGAUAAAUAGGUUUAUGAAUAAAUACUAUUGUAAUGCAUAAUAAUUUAUAAGUUUAAUCAUAUAAAGAGUAAAAUUUGACCACUUAUUUGGCUUUUAUGUUGGAUAAUUGGAAUAUUGAGUCUAGAAAUUUGAAAAUUACCUCCCAUAAUCUUAUUCGGAUACGGAUAUAUCCACUUUCAUAUCCAUGUUUGUCUCAAAAUCUCCUACCAUAUUUUAUUUUUUAUUUGUUUAAUAAAUUCGGAUACGGAUAAUUUCCAUUUCCAUUUUGGUUCGGAUGCGGAUGUUUCGGAUACAAAUAGGCAUUUUCUCGAAUACGAAUAUCGGAUAUUUCGGAUUAUCCGCUAUCAAUUUCCACCCCUAAACAACACGCUGUUGCGGUCUGAUGUAGUUGCUACUCAUUUGUUUCUAAAGUAACUUGUAAUCAACUACUUCUUCCGUUUUGAAAUAGAUGACUCAACUUUAUACAAAGUUAGUAUAAAGUUGAGUCAUCUAUUUUGGAACGGAGGGAGUACUUCUGAUGAGAACAAAUCAAUAAAGUACCUUGUAAUCAAACUACUGAGAUAAUUUGUACCUUCUCUCCGUACCCAUGUAUAAUCAAGUAGCCUCUUAAUGUACUUUUCCUUUUUCUUCUUUGAAGCAAGUUUAUGAAGAAAAGAAUGAUGUAUUCUGAUCUCCAUGAAGCAACCAAUUAGCUCGUCCUCUCUAUAAAAACAAUUCUUCAUGAUACCGAAGAUUCUCAAUAUCUAGCCUAACAAAAAGAAGGUUAUCAAUAUUUGAAGAUCUUUUUUAUCCCUAAUCUCCCCGUCAGAUCACUUUGUCUCCAUUUCUGAAGGUCUUUUUUUAGCUUCGAUAUCCUCUUAUUUGGGCCUUUCAGAACCUCCAGAUCCCUCUGGUGUAGAUCUUUAUGAACAGCCUUGGUACAAUCAGGCAAGGGUGGCCUAGCUUGCUGGAUCCCAAGCCAAUUGGACUACCGCAUUGACGGUUUCUUCACACAACCAACGGGCUUCAAACUAUUUUCGGGCCUUCGAUUGUUGAGACAAAACAAAUUUUAAAAAAAUAUGAAGGAAAAUAGAUCAAUGGUCUGAAUGGACACGGUGCUCAUGAACCAACGCAUAUGGCAAUUUAUCCGCACACGCCUCAUUACUUGGUGAUGCCCUGGCUCCAGGUAAACUGAUCACCAAUAACAGUGGUCUGUUGAAGUCCACACAACCUCUGAAAUUAUGCAUCAAUUGUUGAGGUCGAACAUUACCACCCUCCUUCUCACUUGCAACCAAUCUCUCAUUAAAAUCACAGUAACUAACCAUGGACCAGCCGCAUUCCGUUGCGCGAGUAUGUCCAGGACAGGUGCUUCCUAUCCCAAGUUGGUUGUCCAUAAUAUCCUGUCAAGCGCCAUGAAGCAUCAUUUUCACCCAUAACAAUUGCAUCAAUAAAUUUUUCUAAAGAAUAGUUCAACACCACUUUAUUAGAUUGGUUAUAAAAAAGGACAAGGUUCCCCGAGCGACCAUCACUCUUUUUUUUUCAAGAAACUUCCAAUCUAUUUAUCGUCAAUCAUGGUGGUACAACAAACACCAGAAAUAAUAAAAAUUACAUCGAGAUAUGUAGACCACCUAGCGACGACUACAAGCACUGAAGCGAGCCGAAUGCGCGCAGUCGUCAUUGCCCCUCCCACACACGCAUACCUUACCACUAUGAGUACCUCCGACAAACUGAGGCGGCAUAUCAUCUUGAGAUGGACGAAGUCACCAAAGGCGUCUCGUAGUCGACGGGAACGUCUCCUCCCAUUAAACGCGCAUCGCAGAAAAUCCUGAAAUAAAUUCAGCAAUAAAUGUGAGCAAAAGGAUAUGAACUCUGGUGGACUGGGGAUACCACUGUCCACCUAACCAUUCAACCACAGAUUGGUAUUGCUAUGUACAAUUUGGGGUCAUGAUGACCGGAUAGCAGAUUGUGGAGCUUGUAUUUUUUUGUUUCUAUAAUAGCCGCAUGACCUGAAAGGUUUCUUUCCAUCCGGGGCAAUUAUCGUGUCAGUUAAUGGGGGGUGGGGGUGGAUAAACUGGUCACACGAUGCAUAGUUUUAACUUUCUACACCGUGAUAAAAUAAAAGGAAAUGAUUUUCUUCACCUGGCCUAUCCAUCGCGGGGCAUCCGCCGCCUCUAGUGUGCAGACGCGUGUCCUAUGUGGACCCUAUGCGUCGCUCUAUAUUUUUUCUUAUUCCCACCCAUGGUUGACCUUUGUUGAAGAAAAAGCUACAACAAGACCUCUGUUGCAAAAGUUUAUAUAUGCAGAAGACCUCUAUUUUUGCAAAAAAAAAAAGGAUUCUACAACAUGACCUAUGUUGCAAUGAUAGGCAAUAAAGAAAAAGAACAAAAGAUUAAACAAUUUGCAACAACUCUCUUGUUGCAGAAGGCAAAGCACAAUAAGGCUCAUGUUAGAUAGAUCGGAGGAAGAGAAAAAUGGUUUGAGGCUUUUUACGGUUAGUCCGUAGUUCGAAGCCUUUUGCAACAAAUCCUCUGUUGUAGAGAGACGGGUGCAACAACAUGCUUGUUGCAACUUCAUUUGCUCAUGUGAAGAAGAUGUAGUGACUUUCUUUGUCUUAGUCCGACGGCUAUGGAGGUGGACGAUCUUUUCCAUUGCUUAAACCGGCCAACACCUAGUGCAGCCCAUAAAAUAAUUCCCGGUGCCUUUCAAGCCUAUGCAACUCGUAUGGAACACACUUUCUACUCUCUUGAUGUAUGGAUUGUCUCAUCGUUUCUAGAGGAAAAUAAUUUGAAAUUGAGAGGCACGGAAGAGAUUGAUGUUUAUCAGUUGAGAAUUGAUGACAUGAAGGUGCCCCGCUGCCCACCGCAUUGCAUGGUUUUGUGUGGGCCCAUAAUAUUUCAGCACCUAUAAAUGAGCUCAGUUUGGGCAUCAUGACAUUUAUGUGUGUCAAACCACAUAUUUGUCGCGUCAUAGGCUCUCACCGAUUCCACGCCUCCCAACUAUAAACAUUCACGAAGAAUUAAAGCAUACAACCAGCCUACUAUAUCAAGUUGUGCUGAGAGCAGAGCAUCUCCAAUAACUGCCCUAUAAUAGGGCACCAAAAUUUGCUUGAAGUAAAAUUUGGGAUACAAAAAAGUGUUUUUAGGGCACGAGAAAGUGAGUGUCUCCAAAAGUUGCCCUAAAAUGGGGUAUUGAAUAGGGCACCAUUGCUCCAACAACUGCCAUAAAAAUAGGGCAACCGCACCACAUCUUUCUUCUCCACAUAUGGAUAGAAAUUAAACUUUGCAAGAUUUCCUUGAGUGUCUUCUCCACCAACAGCUGCUCACAAAAUUCAAUUACUGAACUUGAGUGUCUUCUCCACCAACAGCUGCUCAAAAAAUUCAACUACUAAAACCAAAUCUAACAGGAAGACCGACAAAAUCAAAGUAGAUACUAAAUUUGAGUGUCUUCUUUUAAUUUCUUUGUAUUGCACAGAACUACACACCAAAAUGGCAUGGGAUACAAUUUCAGCGAAUAACAAACGAAAUUGACAAGAAGUUCCUUUGUAACUUUCUUCAGUAAAAGGAACAGUGAAAGUCUGAACUUUCUGAAAACUAACACCUGCAUCUUGGCCUCUUACACUUUCGUCAGAAAAAGGAAAGCUGGAAACUGAACUUUACUAAUGAAUUACAUCGGGACUAGCAGCGGCGCAUUCAAGCAGCACCUCCACGACCCGUACAAACUCCAACAACCCAUUCUGCAGCACCACCACACAAACCACUAACUAGCCAUCAGGCUUUCAUUUAGCUUUGUACUCUCUCUGUAAACUAAUAUAAGAUUAUUUAGGUCACUAGAGGGAAUAUAUGAUAAAUGUGUUUGCUUUCGCAAAAAAAAAAAAUAUGAUAAAUGUGUUUGGAAGAGGGCUAACUUGCUUUAUUUGGAAUCGCCAAGGUGAAUCUAACUUCCUUUUUUCUUGGCAAAACAAAAUAACUGCACUAUCGUGCUACAAUCAGCAACAGAAUUGGUCACUACCCAUGCCAUGCAAUUCAGCUCAAUUCACUCUAUUAAAAAACUUCAAGUCAUAGCACGAGAAAUUUCCACUUUAAAGGAAUCGAAACAUCCUCACCACGCAACCCAGUAGAAAUGAAACAAUCCUACAUGCUCAACCCACAACAACGGAAGCUCCGAGCCGCACUAGCCCCGGGUCACCGCAAUUGCAUUUGAGAACUUAGCCAUGGCCUCGACAACAACAUUGAAGAAGGCGUCGGAGCCAAAGCCCUUUGUCUGGAUGUGCUAGCAAAGCUCCGCCACCACCCAUGGAGCUCGCUCAGCUUGGAUGGGUGGCCGGAGCCGAAUCUCGCAGGGAUAGAGAUCAAAUCGGACCUAGGGAAGAGGGGACGAGGUGAGGGGCGCUAGAGUUGGGGGAGGCAUCAACCGCAGUGAUGCUCGCAAGAGUAGAGGCAGGAAGGGCACGUGGGAAAACACCCGACCGACGAUUUUGCGACAGCGGCCCAAGUGUAGAGUUGGAUCAGCCGACGGUGAUUUGCAGGUGUAGAGGCAGGAAGGGUGCGUGGAAAACGCCCGACCGGCGGUUUUGCGACAGUACUUUAUGCUGUAUUUUUGGGCAGCGCUGGAAAUUUUGGAGCAAAUUUUACAUUAAGGGCAGGUAUUGGAGCAGUGUUUCUGGCCCCAAAUGCCCUAAAUACGUUAUGGGGAGAUUCUCUGAGUUGAUGGGGAGUUUAGGUGUUUACACACACUCCAAAUCACAAGUCUUACAACGGUUGUUUCAGGCCCUAAAUAAACACACAAAAUCUGUCAGGCAGAUUAACGUCUUACACCCACACAAACGGAAGCAAUUUGCUUGGCUUUACAUAUAUCCAAGGUAACAUUUCUAGAUCUGUUGGAGAAGCUCGUAUACAUUGGGUGCAUGUUGCAUGGAGAAGCUCAUACAAGUUAAAUGUGCAUGCUGAAUUUGGUAUCCAAGUCGAUCAGCUCAGGUACAAUGAGGAAUAUUACUUAGUUCCACAGUAUCUCUAACAAUGGUUGGAGAAGCUACACAUUUAAAUCUCAGACAUGCAUGUAUUUCGGAACGGAGGCAGUAGUUUUUUACAGAAUGUGACAUUUGGAACUAUAGACUGUUCUUUUCAACUACUCAGAAGGCUAACUAAAAUUUCAGAAACAUUUAUGAGAAAGAAAUAGAACAGCAUCACAUCAAAAAAAAAAGAUGGACGCAGGGCAGAAUUACAUAUAUCAAGAGUACUGCAAAAUUAAUAGCUGCAUAAAAUUCAGUCACAAACACAUAUAAUCCCACAUUACAUAAAACUCAGUCUUGGAACAAAACCAGACUAGCAUUAAACAGCUAAAUUGGACAGAACACAGGUAAGACAGCUUCCACAGCCAUAGCAGCAAACACGCCAGGAAUCACUAGACCAUGCCGUCCUCCCUCGAUGCCUGGCAGCCUGGAUGUAGGAUGAUGCUUCCCCUGCUCCAAGGCGCCUACUUGGAUCGCUGCCUCAUCUUUCGGCGCUUCCUCUUGAGCCUCCUCAUCCUCUUCUUCUUCCACUGCAAAUUUAAGUAACCGCACAGUUCAUCAGCACAAAUUGCGUAGUACUACUCUAGUAGAUGCAUGGCCAAAUAACAAGAAAGUACAAUUUGUUUUGGAAUCAGAAGAUUUGAGUGUUUCAUUGGAUAUCAUCACGUGAUUUUCAGAAACACGGACCAAUUGUUCUUCAUCAUUUCCCAAAGACUGACAAUGUUGAAAAGGCAAAUAGGAAACAACCAAACUAAGAUAUCUAAAGAACUAGCUAAGCAAAGUAGAGAUCUGCAGUCGGUUUGACAUUCAGAAUGAGUAGGAGGAUUUUAUCAUCAAAUGGAUCAGACGCCAAUAGUCAUCCUCAUCAUGCCAACCGACGCAAUUGAACGAAAGAAAGAACAAAUCUAGAAAGAAACACUGGCAAAGAAAACACUAUUCUCUCAGACAAAUGCCUCGAUUGUCCACAUGGUUUUAUAGAAUGGAUUACAUCGGACUCGUCAUAUGUUUUCAUCAUCACAGAGAACUAUAAACAAACAUGCGCAAAAAAUAUCAACUCAGUCAACAGAAACUACAUCCUAGAAUCUCUGAGAACAGGCAAAUCGAACUAUAAUAGCAGGUUCUCUCAGACAAAUUUGCCUCAUUUUUGUCCCCACGGUUGAAUGGAAUGGAUUGGAUCGGACAUCUAAUCAGUGUUGAUCAUCACAGAGAACCACUAAUUACGACAUCGAGCAACAGCAACAGCAGGAACGAAAGCUCGAUAAACACUAGCACAUGCCCAGAUCUACCGCGGUCGCGAAGCAGCUAAUAGGAGAGAAGGUAGACGAAGGGCAGUACGAACCUUGGCCCUCAUCGCGGCGGCGGAGUCGGCCUCGCUCUCCUUUUCGCGGCGGCGGCGGCGGAAGGGUGUGGACGAUCCCGAUCUCCGUAGAUUGUUGGCGGCGGGGGCUCUGGACUCGUACUUUAUAGGGGUGGGGUGCUGGGAAGGGGGGAAACCCUAGCGGGUGGACGGCUCGGAUCAGCCGCUGAGCGGCGUUCUGAUCCGAUUUGGUCGGUCUCUGGUUCGCAGCCCUAAUGGGCCUUCAAACCAACGUCUCGGCCCACGGUCACAUCUAAGAUGAUGGGCUUCCCUUCACCUGUUCUUAAACUGGGCCUCCUCCUCGCUUGCUUGACUCGGCCUGAUCGGUU
Molecule: long non-coding RNA, 28015 nt
Filed under: Triticum aestivum (bread wheat)
Lineage: Eukaryota; Viridiplantae; Streptophyta; Magnoliopsida; Poales; Poaceae
Description: long non-coding RNA (TAES_LNC006234)
Rfam family: MIR1120/MIR1122 microRNA precursor family (bases 8161-8295)
Source: RNAcentral